GCAUGGUCCACUGUCGAUUGGCACAGGAGCCACCCAAGUAUCCACAGUGGCCUUCGCAGUGGAGGUGGGGUUGCCACCGAGUAUCACGUCCAGCUUUUUGUAGAACCGGCAGCCCAUGGACGCAGCACUGUCUCAGUGGUUUG
Molecule: non-coding RNA, 143 nt
Organism: Chelonoidis abingdonii (Abingdon island giant tortoise)
Lineage: Eukaryota; Metazoa; Chordata; Testudines; Testudinidae
Source: RefSeq, a predicted model, not a curated record